AUUGAACGCUGGCGGCAGGCUUAACACAUGCAAGUCGAGCGGAGUGAUGGUGCUUGCACUAUCACUUAGCGGCGGACGGGUGAGUAAUGCUUAGGAAUCUGCCUAUUAGUGGGGGACAACAUCUCGAAAGGGAUGCUAAUACCGCAUACGUCCUACGGGAGAAAGCAGGGGAUCACUUGUGACCUUGCGCUAAUAGAUGGGCCUAAGUCGGAUUAGCUAGUUGGUGGGGUAAAGGCCUACCAAGGCGACGAGCUGUAGCGGGUCUGCGAGGAUGCUCCGCCACACUGGGACUGAGACACGGCCCAGACUCCUACGGGAGGCAGCAGUGGGGAAUAUUGGACAAUGGGGGGAACCCUGAUCCAGCCAUGCCGCGUGUGUGAAGAAGGCCUUAUGGUUGUAAAGCACUUUAAGCGAGGAGGAGGCUCUUUUGGUUAAUACCCAAGAUGAGUGGACGUUACUCGCAGAAUAAGCACCGGCUAACUCUGUGCCAGCAGCCGCCGUAA
This 503-nucleotide ribosomal RNA is filed under the name uncultured bacterium. RNAcentral describes it as "partial 16S ribosomal RNA". It matches the Rfam family "Bacterial small subunit ribosomal RNA", at positions 30 to 523 of the family's 1533-position model. The record is from RNAcentral.